Molecule: ribosomal RNA, 448 nt
Filed under: uncultured soil bacterium
Lineage: Bacteria
Description: bacterial SSU rRNA
Rfam family: Bacterial small subunit ribosomal RNA
Source: RNAcentral
AGAGCGAACGCUGGCGGCAGGCCUAACACAUGCAAGUCGAGCGCUCCGCAAGGGGAGCGGCAGACGGGAGAGUAACACGUGGGAACGUACCCUUCAGUUCGGAACAACCCAGGGAAACUUGGGCUAAUACCGAAUACGUCCGUAAGGAGAAAGAUUUAUCGCUGAAGGAUCGGCCCGCGUCUGAUUAGCUUGUUGGUGAGGUAACGGCUCACCAAGGCGACGAUCAGUAGCUGGUCUGAGAGGAUGAUCAGCCUCACUGGGACUGAGACACGGCCCAGACUCCUACGGGAGCAGCAGUGGGGAAUAUUGGACAAUGGGCGCAAGCCUGAUCCAGCCAUGCCGCGUGGUGAUGGAAGGCCCGUAGGGUUAGUAAAGUCCCGUUUCGGGCGGGGGAAAGAGUAAGUGGAACCGGUACCCGCGAAGGAAGAACGGCCCCCGGACUAACCGU